CGGCGAACGGGUGAGUAAUACAUCGGAACAUACCCAGUCGUGGGGGAUAACACUUCGAAAGAAGUGCUAAUACCGCAUACGUCCUGAGGGAGAAAGCGGGGGAUCUUCGGACCUCGCGCGAUUGGAGUGGCCGAUGUCAGAUUAGCUAGUUGGUGGGGUAAAGGCCUACCAAGGCGACGAUCUGUAGCUGGUCUGAGAGGACGACCAGCCACACUGGGACUGAGACACGGCCCAG
This 235-nucleotide ribosomal RNA is filed under the name uncultured bacterium. Its description in RNAcentral is "partial 16S ribosomal RNA". It matches the Rfam family "Bacterial small subunit ribosomal RNA", at positions 96 to 334 of the family's 1533-position model. The record is from RNAcentral.